GAUGAACACUGGCGGCGCGCCUAACACAUGCAAGUCGAACGAUUAAAGCACCUUCGGGUGUGUAUAAAGUGGCGAACGGCUGAGUAACACGUGGGCAACCUGCCCCUCUCAUUGGGAUAGCCACGGGAAACCGUGGAUAAUACCGAAUACUUCGGGACUUCCGCAUGGAAGACUCGGGAAAGCUCCGGCGGAGAGGGAUGGGCCCGCGGCCUGUUAGCUUGUUGGUGGGGUAAUGGCCUACCAAGGCAAUGAUGGGUAGCUGGGUUGAGAGACCGACCGGCCAGAUUGGGACUGAGACACGGCCCAGACUCCUACGGGAGGCAGCAGUGGGGAAUCUUGCACAAUGGGCGAAAGCCUGAUGCAGCGACGCCGCGUGCGGGAUGAAGGCCUUCGGGUUGUAAACCGCUUUCAGCAGGGACGAGGCGAAAGUGACGGUACCUGCAGAAGAAGCCCCGGCUAACUACGUG
RNAcentral lists this ribosomal RNA (467 nucleotides) under uncultured bacterium. Its description in RNAcentral is "partial 16S ribosomal RNA". It matches the Rfam family "Bacterial small subunit ribosomal RNA", at positions 28 to 507 of the family's 1533-position model. The record is from RNAcentral.